GCGUUCGUAUUAAACCAAAAUGUUUCUUAACUACUUCAACAUGUCACGUUGAGAAAAGAGCCCUUUGGUGUAAGCUAAGUUAAAUUCUAAUUAAUACUUAAAGGUAUAUUAUGCCCCACGUAUUGGGUUUAAUAUAUGUGAACCGCUUAGUGUUUUGGGGCAGCGGUAGAUGAAGGUGACAUUUAUAUCUGUUUUACAUACAAAUAGAUACAAAAAAGCCUUAUUGUCUGAGUGAGGAUACAUUUGCAGCGGAGAUGUGUGAUGUUUUCACCCCCUCUGCUGGUGGAGGUUGUAAAGUGACUGAAGUGUUGCCUUUGUCUCAACACUCUGAAGACCACCAAGUAUCAGCGACAGUUUUAUUUAUUUAGUGCGGGAAGUAAGAACAAUGCAUGCAGUUAUUAAGACGGUCUUGAAGUAGAAUUUUGAAGUUGACAAUAUGCUAUUUACUUUUAUAAUAGUUCACUACAUCCAUGGUAGAAAAACAUUAUAGAAGUUCAUACAUGGGAAAUGAUCAUUUUCUCCUUUUGAGAGCACGUUACGACUUUGACUCUACAAAGGCAAAUAUACUUAAAGUAGGAGACCCAGGGCCAAGCCUUCUGAGCUUCACCUCAUUUCAGAUUUAUUCACUACUCGUAUCUAUUGGAUAAUUUAAACAACGCACAGUAAUGAUAGAACGUCUUGUCUUAGUUUCAUAUAAAGCCCUAUCCAGGAUAAAGGCCUAUAACCACGCCAGGUGGAAAAGUAGAAUUAUUCAUCCAAGUAAACAGUUAUAUAAAGCUUGUACAUAGAUUAGAUGAAAUAAAUGGUACUAAUCUCCUUUUUCUAAAACAGCCAGCAGGCAAUUAGUUAUUGAUGAAACCCUGUGAGAACGGACCGAUUGGAUCUGAUGGAGUUUCAACAAAGCUCUCGUUGGUUUGUUUGGGAAUAACAGAGAGACACAAAUCAGACGCUUGAAUCCGCUCCUCGAUGCAACAUUUCAUCCCCUGGAAUGUCUUGUGAAUAAUACGCGGCCCCGCAGUCUUUCCACCGCCGCUCUUUUCACAAAUGGAAGACAAAUAUAUUCGUUGGCCGGCCGCCGUGCUUCACUGCGAGGUUCUUUUGAUUAGUAAUAUACAGAGCUAAUUAGCUUAAGACAGUGAUAUAGUUUCUCUGCCGGACCCCUGCCCCGUCCCGUCCGCGCCCCCCCCCCUUCGCGUCGGCUCAGAUUUCCCAGGUGCCUCUCUGUCUGUCCGAGGUAACAAAGUAAUGGUCUCCAUUUGGAAGACUGUUUUUCAAACGUGUUUUUUCUUGAAGUGAUUUUUAAAAGAUUACGAUUAGAGAUAUCGGUGCCCUCGAGGGACUCGUUGACCCCGAAUGGGCCUUCUGCUGCAUUAUGCAUGCCGACUCACAUGAAAGAUCAACGUGAGCCCAUGUUAUAAAGAGAGGGGAGGUAACGCUUUUCUUUAUUUCACUGCUCAAACUCCUUCUCUCUCCUCUCAUCACAGAGUGAAAGACAAUCCUGUUAUUUCCUGUGACAUCCGGACCUCAGGAAGGAAUAAGACUCCUGGAAUCAGUGGAAAUCGAAGCUUCGCACGGCUUGGUUACGUUGAUGAGAAAUCGCCGAACUUCUUCCUGUUCCCAGUGUCGCUUUGUAACUUGAGUCUGUCGCAGAGGAGCCACAGCUCGGAGCCGUCUCUGCAACACGCCGAUGCCUCACCUCGGUUUCAUCGUUUGGGACCAAAUGAAAAGUUUAAUUUACACGAAAGAAGACUCUUAAAACUCUAGCUGGUCACUGCAGCAGAGACCCUGAACGCACCGCCUCUUCAUUUGCACUCCACCCGGUUACACCGCUAAGUCAGAGACAUGCACUCUGGGGAGGGGGUUCAGACCCAAACCCAGUCCGGGGCAUCAGCUCGGUGGCUGGUUGCACAGCCGUUCCCCAGGCAACCACCGGUGGUCGUUAAGUGUAAUUUGUCUGGUCUCCCAGUGUUGAAAACGCACAAAGGAUGGCGAGGAAAGCCAGCGUGAGGCUG
Molecule: long non-coding RNA, 2012 nt
Organism: Gasterosteus aculeatus aculeatus (three-spined stickleback)
Lineage: Eukaryota; Metazoa; Chordata; Actinopteri; Perciformes; Gasterosteidae
Source: Ensembl